RNAcentral lists this long non-coding RNA (2718 nucleotides) under Equus caballus (horse). Its description in RNAcentral is "lncRNA (ENSECAG00000052772.1)". Lineage: Eukaryota; Metazoa; Chordata; Mammalia; Perissodactyla; Equidae. The record is from RNAcentral.
GUUAGUUAAUUUAAAUAAUUAACUUACCAUAAUUGUUCAUAUUUGAUGAUUAAUAUUAAUAUAAUAAUUUAAAUAAAACGCGCGUUCGUAACUUUCUUGGAUGACUCCCUGGCCUCGCGCAAGGCUCCCUGUCGUCUCUGAGCGCCUUCGUCUAGUCUUUCUAGGCUCCUUGGACGCAGCGGCGUCCCGAGCGCUUCCCGAGCGGCGGCGCUGUGGCCGGCGGGGCUGCUCGUCGCUGCGCCCCGCACAGGCCGUUCCUCUGCUCUCGGCCGUGCGGUGCCCGGGGCGGAAGCCCUGCAGCUGGAGACUGGCUUCCGCCUGCCAGUGGGCAGGAGGGGCGGCAGGUGGCGGUGGUGCUGGUGGGGAAGGGUGACCGACGUGACCUCUCCUGGAAGGUUUUCAGGAUGCACGUGUUGACUUUUGACUUCCAAGUCCCAAAGCUCGCUUCAGUAGUUCCAGGCGGUUAUGACGGUGGCUCGCUGGCCUGAAUGAUCUUAAUCACGAAAGCACUUGUGUACAGCUUUAUAAUUCGACGUCUGUAUGCACUACACAGCGCUCCCCGCCACCGCCUGCUUCCCACCCUCACCGCGCCGCCCACGCGCGGUGGUCAGCUGGCCGGCCGGCGCGGCGCUGGCUGGUGGCCUCCCCGAGACACGCAGGCACCGAGACUUCCGUGGGGACCGAGGCGUCCGGGUCCUGCCCCUCACUCCUCCCUCUGCUCGUGGCCCUGACGGACCAGGCACAUGGAUUCACCUGUGGAAGCCACAGAACAUUUGUGGCCCAAGAAGAUUCAAGCGACAGCAAAAUGAAGACUAAUCAAGUCAGGGGACGCUUCCUUUUCCUACAACCAGACUCCAGUCCCCCAGAAUCUGUGUUUGUGAAAACUCCAGAGGAAGACAAACAACACUCUCUCCAGUGCUCCCCUCUUGCCUCGUCCCCCUAAAGUCUUUCCAUUUUCUUGCCGUGUCCCCCUGUUCCCUCUGUAGAAGCCAGCACAGUUUCUGCGGCCGGCGAGUGGGCAGGCAGGGGGGCUGACGGGGACAGGGGAAGGCACCUACCUGAGGCUUCCUUCUUGUGAAGAGGACUCGAGGCCUUCCGGCCAUCUGGGACCAGCUCCUCUGGACAAAGAUGGCGGGCCUGGGCUUCCUUUGGCUUGGUGCCGGGUGUAUACAAACACGGACCAAAUGUGUGCCGCUUGGUGGCCGCGGAGCUCCAUGAUGGCUGAGCUGCACCAGCCGAUGCUAUCUGUGAGCCUGUCCUGCGACCGCAAUGGCUCCUCCACGGCAGCAAGCUCGCUCUGAAGUCUCGAAGCUGUGUGGCGGCGGCCAUGGGGCCGUGGGGGAGGUGCCGGGGACAGGAGCCAGCAAUGUGUGAACGCAGGCCUCGGCAGCGAAGGACGUCCUGACUCUUGAGAGAAAAGGGAGAAGUUGCAAUGUCUGAAAAAAUGUUUGGUAACGUUGGCAAAUCUUUCUAAGAUUGUUUGAAGUUACAGUGGCACUUGAUCACAUUUUAAACACAGUAGAUCUCGACUUAAAAUGAGCCCAGGUAAGAACAACACUUUAGAGCAGCAGACUCAGGACGUGAGUAAAAUGCUGCCUUCUGGGGCAUCACCUGGUUGUUUCAGCCAGGAGUCGAGGAGAACUUCAUGAAGGUAGGAAUAAAGGAGGUUCAUCUGCAGUAGGGCGUCAACAGAGCGGCUGCAGACUCAGCUCCCCACGCGCUCUGCCAGCAGGGGCCACGUUUCCCCACGCACUGUGCCAGCGCAGGCCAUGACGCUUGCUGCUCACCGGGGCUGCUCGCGCCACCGGAGCUCUGGCGUCUCGCCGUGGUCAGGCUCGGUGGCAGCAGUGUGCCCACCUUCCUGAGGCAAUCCUAUUCAACUUGACUGAGAGUCUUUCCUGGAAGGAAACUUUGCUCCUUGCUCCUCAAAUCUAAUGCAGUAGAUUUUCGGAAGUUAGGCUCUAUAACAUCACUACGUACUCUGAUUUAGUGACUCCUGUGCCGCUGCCCCUGAGGGAGGUAGAAGGGUGGGUUCGGUGAGAGUCUGGUCACGGCAUUUUCAUCAGCAGAUCCACACACAACCUUGUUUCUUGCGUGUUUCUGUUCAGACACCUUCUUUAAUGCAUAGUGUGGAUUCAGCACCUUUGAGCUCACAGCCUGAACGACAGUCGUCUAGCACGUCUCCUUUUUCCUUGAGGUACAUCCCAGCCCUCUGGCCCUUAGGAAGACCGUACACACUUCAACACUCUGCUUGGGGCCAUUUUAAACAGUGACAUCACCAACAAAAAGCACAAAAAUGCAAAAACAAGGGCACUAGGUAGACUGUGAAACGGACACGUUUACAGCAUGAGAGCUGAACCAAGGAGGUGGAGCAUCAUCUUUCUCAACCUCACCUGAGACCACGUGCACCAGGAGACUCUGCGUUGUUACAGUUCUGCACACGUCCACGAAUGAGCCUGAAAACUCUGAGGACACUGAUUUUGGGGUUACAAAUGAAUUUUAUCGAGUAAGAGAAUUUGCAAAUAUGCAAUCCGUCAAUUAUGAGGAUCGACUAUAUAUUGAUGAAACCAACGUGCAUUUUUAAGCUCUCCUGAUUCUGGGUAAUGAUUAUUAUUUGGUAAUUUAAUUUUUGGUCUUAUGUAAUGUCAAAGCAAAGAUAAUUACCAUUUAAAAAAUUAACUGCAUUUAUACAGUGUUUUGUUAAUAAAGACAGAUGGU